GUCUUCGUAGCUCAAGUGGUAGAGCGUUCGUUCGGAAAGCGAAAGGUCCUGGGUUCGAUUCCCGGUCGAGGAAACA
This is a non-coding RNA of Vespa mandarinia (Asian giant hornet), 76 nucleotides long. NCBI's taxonomy places the organism in Eukaryota, Metazoa, Arthropoda, Insecta, Hymenoptera, Vespidae. The record is from the annotation of a RefSeq genome assembly.